CUCUUAUCAAGAGAGGUGGAGGGAUGUGCCCUGCGAAACCCGGCAACCGUCUUUAUAUAGAAAUGGUGCCAAUUCACAAAAAGUUGAACUGCUUUUGAAGAUGAGAG
This 107-nucleotide non-coding RNA is filed under the name Staphylococcus carnosus. RNAcentral's name for it is "SAM-I sequence". It matches the Rfam family "SAM riboswitch aptamer (S box leader)". Rfam says of the family: The SAM riboswitch is found upstream of a number of genes which code for proteins involved in methionine or cysteine biosynthesis in Gram-positive bacteria. The SAM riboswitch acts at the level of transcription termination control. RNAcentral also lists the same sequence under 1 other name. Lineage: Bacteria; Bacillati; Bacillota; Bacilli; Caryophanales; Staphylococcaceae. The record is from RNAcentral.